This 468-nucleotide ribosomal RNA is filed under the name uncultured bacterium. Its description in RNAcentral is "partial 16S ribosomal RNA". It matches the Rfam family "Bacterial small subunit ribosomal RNA", at positions 28 to 507 of the family's 1533-position model. The record is from RNAcentral.
GACGAACGCUGGCGGCGUGCUUAACACAUGCAAGUCGAACGGAAGGGCCAUGCUUUUGUGGGGUGCUCGAGUGGCGAGCGGGUGUGUAAAACGUGAGUAAACUGCCCUUGUCUUUGGGAUAACUUCAGGAGACUGGGGCUAAUACAGGAUAGGAGAUCCUGCUGCAUGGUGGGGGUAGGAAAGUUUCGGCGGUUGGGGCUGGACUCGCGGCUUAUCCGCUUGUUGGGGGGGUAGUCGCUUACCAGGUCUUUGACGGGUACGCCGCCUGAGAGGGUUGACGGGCUCAUGGGGACUGAGGUACGGCCCAGACGCCAACGGUAGGCAGUGGUCGGGAACAUUGCACAAUGGGCCGAAGUCUGAUGCGGCAACGUCGCGUUCGGGAUGACGUCUUUUUGGUUGUAAACCGCUUUCGCCUUUGACGUAGCGUGAGUGACGGUAAUGAGUAAAGAAGCACCGGCUAACUACGUG